Molecule: ribosomal RNA, 253 nt
Filed under: uncultured bacterium
Lineage: Bacteria
Description: partial 16S ribosomal RNA
Rfam family: Bacterial small subunit ribosomal RNA
Source: RNAcentral
GACGAAGGGGGCAAGCGUUGUUCGGAAUCACUGGGCAUAAAGCGUGCGUAGGCGGCCAGAUCAGUCGGGUGUGAAAUCCCUCGGCUCAACCGAGGAACUGCGCCCGAUAUUGUCUGGCUUGAGUUCCGGAGGGGAGAGUGGAAUUCCCGGUGGAGCGGUGAAAUGCGUAGAGAUCGGGAAGAACGCCGGCGGCGAAAGCGAGUCUCUGGUCGGAUCCUGACGCUGAGGCACGAAAGCUAGGGGAGCAAACGGG